CCCCAGUAUAUACACAGCACCAAAUUGAGGAGCGCCAUUGUUUCCAGCUGCAGGUCUUCUCUCCAGUAGGUUCUUCCUCUUUUCACUAGAAGGGAAAUAACAUGGAUCAUGGGAGUGUGGUCCCUGAGAUUGUGUCAUUUCAUGUAUUGGAAGAAAUGACAGAUAGUUUCUCUGAAUACCGCAAAUUAGGCAGCGGCUCAUAUGGAGAAGUUUAUAUGGGAGAGAGUAAGGAUGGAAAGAAGAUUGCUGUGAAGAUGCUCCAUGACACUAUAGGACUUAACAAUGAUCAAUUUGACACAGAGUGUCUCAAUCUCGCAUCUCUUCGCCACCAUAAUAUU
Molecule: long non-coding RNA, 338 nt
Organism: Triticum aestivum (bread wheat)
Lineage: Eukaryota; Viridiplantae; Streptophyta; Magnoliopsida; Poales; Poaceae
Exons: 3
Source: RefSeq, a predicted model, not a curated record